Molecule: ribosomal RNA, 484 nt
Filed under: uncultured bacterium
Lineage: Bacteria
Description: partial 16S ribosomal RNA
Rfam family: Bacterial small subunit ribosomal RNA
Source: RNAcentral
AUUGAACGCUGGCGGCAGGCCUAACACAUGCAAGUCGAGCGGAUGAAGGGAGCUUGCUCCUGGAUUCAGCGGCGGACGGGUGAGUAAUGCCUAGGAAUCUGCCUGGUAGUGGGGGAUAACGUCCGGAAACGGGCGCUAAUACCGCAUACGACCUGAGGGAGAAAGUGGGGGAUCUUCGGACCUCACGCUAUCAGGUGAGCCUAGGUCGGAUUAGCUAGUUGGUGGGGUAAAGGCCUACCAAGGCGACGAUCCGUAACUGGUCUGAGAGGAUGAUCAGUCACACUGGAACUGAGACACGGUCCAGACUCCUACGGGAGGCAGCAGUGGGGAAUAUUGGACAAUGGGCGAAAGCCUGAUCCAGCCAUGCCGCGUGUGUGAAGAAGGUCUUCGGAUUGUAAAGCACUUUAAGUUGGGAGGAAGGGCAGUAAGUUAAUACCUUGCUGUUUUGACGUUACCAACAGAAUAAGCACCGGCUAACUUCGUG